CUGAGAAUGAUCGUUUCCAGCUUCAUCCAUGUCCCUUCAGAGGACAUGAACUUAUCCUUUUUUAUGGCUGCAUUAAUGUGGCACAUGUACCGCAUGGAAGGUUCAUUUCUAGAAGUUACAGUAUUCAACUGUUCCAGCUCUGUCAGCUUUUAUAGUAGGACCCUUGCACUAAUACCCUAAUGAAGGGAAAAAACCCUGCCAUGCAGUCAGUUGCCUUUUAUAACUGACCCCUGGCCCUUCUCAGUGAAUAACUAAUGGCUAUUCUGGGGUUCCUUUGUUCUUGGGACCUCAGUUGCUCCAUUGAUUUCCUGUGUUUCUUUUCACAUAUUGAUGAUGCCAGAAUGGUCUUUUAGCUGUUGGUGAUUUGAAUGUACCCACUUUUACUUCGGGGCUUUGCAAAAUAUUUGCCACCUAAUUUUAGGAAAUUUUGUCUAUGGGUUUUGGGGUUUGCUGCCUAGUGACUCUGUAUGUUUUUAUUUGGAGAUUUGGAAUAUUCAAAAUUAGGUUUUCACUGCCACCACCGUUUUCCCGGAAUUUCUGAUUCAUUUUUGGAUUAGCUAAGUGUAUUAGAAUAUGUUGAAUAUUAUAAUGUUUAAAAAGAAUAGUAAAACAAUUUGAGUUUUAUUAAACACAGCCAUGGUUGGGUUAUAUAAUAGGUAGCUGUCAUGUGAACAAACUGGUAAUACAUACGUACGUUUAAAAAUUAUAGUAAUGGUAACUACUUUUUUGAUCAUUUACGUGCUGUGCUUAACACUUUGUAUGCAUUAUCUUAAUUAACCAUAGCAGAUGCAUAGUAUCUGUUUUUUCCAUUUCACAGAUGAGAAGACGGAGGCUUAAAGAGGUUAAAUGUGAUUUGGUCAAGGUCAUGAAUUGAUAAAUAAAUUGUGAUGACAAAGAAACAUGAUCAUGUCAAGAAUAAUAGUUCUGUAUAGCCUUGGAAGUUCUGUAAGGUAACUCAAAGAGUCAACAAAAGGGCCCCCCCCCAGGACCUAGGACGGAGACUUGAAGCUCAAGUUUUAUUAGCUUCUGG
This is a non-coding RNA of Macaca mulatta (Rhesus monkey), 1030 nucleotides long. Lineage: Eukaryota; Metazoa; Chordata; Mammalia; Primates; Cercopithecidae. The record is from RefSeq and is a predicted model, not a curated record.